GAGGCAGGUUGGGCAAUCGCGGUGCUUAUGGCAUCGAGGAAGGUCCGGACUCCACAGAGCGGGGUAGCGGCUAACGGCCGCCCACCCGUGCGCCGCGCAAUUUGCGCGUCGCACGGUUGAGGAACAGGGCCACAGAGACGAGUCUGCGGCGCGGGCGCACUAUGUGCGCACUGGCACGGCCAUCUCCGUGCUGCGUGCCGGGGCAACCCGGUACGGCGCGGCAGGGUGAAACGCGGCAACCUCUACCCGGAGCAACAUCAAAUAGGCAUACGCCUGGCUUCGUGCCAAAAGAGCGGCUCGCUCGAGUAUGCGGGUAGAUGGCUAGAGCCCGGCAGCAAUGCCGGGCCCAGAGGAAUGAUUGCCCGCCAGGUUCGCCUGGUGUACAGAAUCCGGCCUAUAGGCCUGCCUCACUC
This is a non-coding RNA of 413 nucleotides. It matches the Rfam family "Bacterial RNase P class A". Rfam says of the family: Ribonuclease P (RNase P) is a ubiquitous endoribonuclease, found in archaea, bacteria and eukarya as well as chloroplasts and mitochondria. The record is from Rfam.